Molecule: ribosomal RNA, 253 nt
Filed under: uncultured bacterium
Lineage: Bacteria
Description: partial 16S ribosomal RNA
Rfam family: Bacterial small subunit ribosomal RNA
Source: RNAcentral
UACAGGGGGGGCAAGCGUUGUUCGGAAUUACUGGGCGUAAAGGGCUCGUAGGCGGCCAACUAAGUCACACGUGAAAUCCCCAGGCUUAACCUGGGAACUGCGUGUGAUACUGGAUGGCUUGAAUUCGGGAGAGGGAUGCAGAAUUCCAGGUGUAGCGGUGAAAUGCGUAGAUAUCUGGAGGAACACCGGUGGCGAAGGCGGCAUCCUGGACCAAUACUGACGCUGAGGAGCGAAAGCCAGGGGAGCAAACGGG